RNAcentral lists this unclassified non-coding RNA (293 nucleotides) under plant metagenome. RNAcentral describes it as "partial contains small subunit ribosomal RNA, internal transcribed spacer 1, and 5.8S ribosomal RNA". The stretch from base 1 to 53 matches the Rfam family "Eukaryotic small subunit ribosomal RNA", at positions 1779 to 1831 of the family's 1831-position model. The record is from RNAcentral.
GGAGUAAAAGUCGUAACAAGGUUUCCGUAGGUGAACCUGCGGAAGGAUCAUUAAUGAGUUGUCAUGGGGUUCGAUGCUGGCAGCCAGUUUUUGGAUGCAUGUGCUUGCCCUAACAAUCAUCUUCUUCCAAACACCUGUGCACAUUUUUGAGGGAGUCUUGAGUUAGUUGCCGCUCUUGGGUGAUUUUCUCACAUUCCCUUAAAUCAUUAUACGCUAUUAACAAUGUUGAACGUGCUCUGUGCCGCAAGGCCAUUAAUAUAAUACAACUUUUAACAACGGAUCUCUUGGCUCUC